AUGUUUGAUGAACACACAAAGGCCCACGCUGAACAAAGUUUUCAUUGUCGUGCUUACUCUUUAAUUUAUUUUAUUAUUUUUCUAAAAAAUCCCAUAUCUCUCUGUUUCUACUAUGUCUUCUCAUGUCUCUCGGUCAUUCUCCUAUCAUAUCUCAAAUCUCUCAAUAUGGUUUUCCUCUUUAUCUCAUGUACACAAUUAGUUUUGUUCGGCUCUUUCAAAAAUUCUUGGGAAACUGAAAUCCCUUUUCCUUUUUUUUGUUAA
Molecule: non-coding RNA, 261 nt
Organism: Vicia faba (fava bean)
Lineage: Eukaryota; Viridiplantae; Streptophyta; Magnoliopsida; Fabales; Fabaceae
Source: the annotation of a GenBank genome assembly